CAGAACUUGAGAGAUGGAGGAGGGAAG
This 27-nucleotide non-coding RNA is filed under the name Cricetulus griseus (Chinese hamster). The record is from RNAcentral. Lineage: Eukaryota; Metazoa; Chordata; Mammalia; Rodentia; Cricetidae.